RNAcentral lists this small nuclear RNA (302 nucleotides) under Erinaceus europaeus (western European hedgehog). RNAcentral describes it as "7SK RNA". It matches the Rfam family "7SK RNA". Rfam says of the family: 7SK was discovered as an abundant small nuclear RNA in the mid-70s but a possible function has only recently been suggested. Two independent studies have found that 7SK RNA binds the CDK9/cyclin T complex (known as elongation factor P-TEFb). P-TEFb activates transcription by phosphorylating the C-terminal domain of RNA polymerase II. Lineage: Eukaryota; Metazoa; Chordata; Mammalia; Eulipotyphla; Erinaceidae. The record is from Rfam by way of RNAcentral.
GGAUGUGAGUGCUACUUGUCUGCGACAUCUGUCUCCCAUUGAUCAGCAGGGUUGUUUGUCUGAUCUGACUAGGUAGGCGGGUUUCCCCUUCCUCCCUCACCUUUCCAUGUGUGUCCCACCCAAAGCUUCACGCUCUGGGGAAUAGGUUGAAGUUCUCCAAAUAGAGACGGACUUAGGUGGAGGGUAGAGAGUGGUUGUGUUCCCCUGCUAGAAGCUCUGAACAAGCUGUUAAGGUCCAUAAUCGAAAGAUUUCCUUUGGUUGACUGAUUACCAAAUUUCUUCCAUUUCUUUAUAUAUUUUUG